RNAcentral lists this ribosomal RNA (497 nucleotides) under uncultured bacterium. RNAcentral describes it as "partial 16S ribosomal RNA". It matches the Rfam family "Bacterial small subunit ribosomal RNA", at positions 28 to 507 of the family's 1533-position model. The record is from RNAcentral.
GAUGAACGCUGGCGGCGUGCCUAAUACAUGCAAGUCGAGCGAACAUACGAGGAUCUUUCUCCUCUGACGUUAGCGGCGGACGGGUGAGUAACACGUGGAUAACCUACCUAUAAGACUGGGAUAACUUCGGGAAACCGGAGCUAAUACCGGAUAAUAUAUUGAACCGCAUGGUUCAAUAGUGAAAGACGGUUUUGCUGUCACUUAUAGAUUGAUCCGCGCCGCAUUAGCUAGUUGGUAAGGUAACGGCUUACCAAGGCGACGAUGCGUAGCCGACAUGAGAGGGUGAUCGGCCACACUGGAACAGAGACACGGUACAGACUCCGAGGGGAGGAAGCAGUAGGGAAUCUUACGCAAUGGGGGAAAGCCUGACGGAGCAACGCCGCGUGAGGGAUGAAGGUGUUAGGAUCGUAAAACUCUGUUAUUAGGGAAGAACAAAUGUGUAAGCAACUAUGAACGUCUUGACGGUACCUAAUCAGAAAGCCACGGCUAACUACGUG